GAUGAACGCUGGCGGUAUGCUUAACACAUGCAAGUCGAACGGUCACUUCGGUGAUAGUGGCGGACGGGUGGGUAACGCGUGAGAAUCUGUCUUCAGGUCGGGGACAACAGUUAGAAAUAACUGCUAAUACCGGAUGUGCCUUUGGGUGAAAGAUUUAUUGCCUGAAAAAGAGCUCGCGUCAGAUUAGCUAGUAGGUGGUGUAAGAGACUACCUAGGCUCCGAUCUGUAGCUGGUCUGAGAGGACGAUCAGCCACACUGGAGCUGAGACACGGUCCAGACUCCUACGGGAGGCAGCAGUGGGGAAUUUUCCGCAAUGGGCGAAAGCCUGACGGAGCAAUACCGCGUGAGGGACGAAGGCUUUUGGGUCGUAAACCUCUUUUCUCAAGGAAGAUGAUGACGGUACUUGAGGAAUAAGCAUCGGCUAACUCUGUG
RNAcentral lists this ribosomal RNA (432 nucleotides) under uncultured bacterium. RNAcentral describes it as "partial 16S ribosomal RNA". It matches the Rfam family "Bacterial small subunit ribosomal RNA", at positions 28 to 507 of the family's 1533-position model. The record is from RNAcentral.